This 23-nucleotide microRNA is filed under the name Callithrix jacchus (white-tufted-ear marmoset). RNAcentral's name for it is "cja-miR-612". Its record names the gene cja-miR-612. The record is from miRBase by way of RNAcentral. Lineage: Eukaryota; Metazoa; Chordata; Mammalia; Primates; Cebidae. RNAcentral also lists the same sequence under 1 other name.
CUGGGGAGGGCUUCUGAGCUCCU